This 241-nucleotide long non-coding RNA is filed under the name Felis catus (domestic cat). RNAcentral describes it as "lncRNA (ENSFCAG00000043701.2)". The record is from RNAcentral. Lineage: Eukaryota; Metazoa; Chordata; Mammalia; Carnivora; Felidae.
AAUGGUAGCAUUGAUCAUUUCCUCUGGAAUACAGGUAGAUCUAAUUAGAAAUUAAUCAAAAUGAUUAACGUCUGCAUUUUUUUUCAGCCAAUGAGUCACUUUAAAAGAUGUCAAUGGAAAGUCCCAGGAGACCAUCUUAGCUCCAAAAGAAAAUAUCCCCACUCGAUGCUAUUUUGCUGGUUGAAGGGAGAAGAUUUGUCCUUCUCUUAAGCCAACUACUAAGGGAAUUCCUUAAUCCCCU